GGAUGCGAUCAUACCAGCACUAAAGCACCGGAUCCCAUCAGAACUCCGAAGUUAAGCGUGCUUGGGCGAGACUAGUACUAGGAUGGGUGACCUCCUGGGAAGUCCUCGUGUUGCACCCC
This 119-nucleotide ribosomal RNA is filed under the name Oryza sativa Indica Group (long-grained rice). The record is from RNAcentral. Lineage: Eukaryota; Viridiplantae; Streptophyta; Magnoliopsida; Poales; Poaceae.